AGAAAAAGGCAAACUUAUCGAAAGAUAGGGACGCAAAGCCAAGGGUCUAAAGUGAGAACACAAUGACAGCCGGUUGCCGA
Molecule: non-coding RNA, 80 nt
Filed under: human gut metagenome
Description: Cyclic di-GMP-I riboswitch
Rfam family: c-di-GMP-I riboswitch aptamer
About the family: GEMM was predicted in a large-scale screen for bacterial structured RNA regulatory elements. Genes associated with GEMM are involved in a diverse array of functions, including chemotaxis regulation, signal transduction, secretion and chitin.
Source: RNAcentral